This 282-nucleotide ribosomal RNA is filed under the name uncultured prokaryote. Its description in RNAcentral is "partial 16S ribosomal RNA". It matches the Rfam family "Bacterial small subunit ribosomal RNA", at positions 524 to 817 of the family's 1533-position model. The record is from RNAcentral.
UACGUAGGGGCGAGCGUUAUCCGGAUUCAUUGGGCGUAAAGCGCGCGUAGGCGGCCCGUUAGGUCGGGAGUUAAAUCCCGGGGCUCAACCCCGGCACGCUCCCGAUACCGGCGGGCUUGAGUCUGGUAGGGGAAGGCGGAAUUCCCAGUGUAGCGGUGGAAUGCGCAGAUAUUAGGAGGAACACCGGUGGCGAAGGCAGAUCUCUGGGCCGUUACUGACGCUGAGGAGCGAAAGCAUGGGGAGCGAACAGGAUUAGAUACCCUGGUAGUCCCUGAGCGGGCU